Loxodonta africana (African savanna elephant) is the source of this 70-nucleotide transfer RNA. It matches the Rfam family "tRNA". From Rfam's summary of the family: Transfer RNA (tRNA) molecules are approximately 80 nucleotides in length. Their secondary structure includes four short double-helical elements and three loops (D, anti-codon, and T loops). The record is from Rfam. NCBI's taxonomy places the organism in Eukaryota, Metazoa, Chordata, Mammalia, Proboscidea, Elephantidae.
GGCUUGUUGGUGCAGUGGUUUAAGCAUUUGGCUGCUAACCAAAAGGUUGGCAGUUCGAAUCCACCAGCCA